This 296-nucleotide ribosomal RNA is filed under the name uncultured bacterium. RNAcentral's name for it is "partial 16S ribosomal RNA". It matches the Rfam family "Bacterial small subunit ribosomal RNA", at positions 775 to 1067 of the family's 1533-position model. The record is from RNAcentral.
GGAUUAGAUACCCUGGUAGUCCACGCCGUAAACGAUGUUCACUAGUUGCUGGAGCCCUUGGCGGCCUCAGUGACGCAGCUAACGCAUUAAGUGAACCGCCUGGGGAGUACGGUCGCAAGAUUAAAACUCAAAGGAAUUGACGGGGACCCGCACAAGCGGUGGAGCAUGUGGUUUAAUUCGAAGCAACGCGAAGAACCUUACCUAGCCUUGACAUCCCAAGAAGUCUGCGUAACUGCGGAUGUGCCCUUCGGGGAACUUGGUGACAGGUGCUGCAUGGCUGUCGUCAGCUCGUGUUG